Non-coding RNA from Cinara cedri, 440 nucleotides. The record is from the annotation of a GenBank genome assembly. NCBI's taxonomy places the organism in Eukaryota, Metazoa, Arthropoda, Insecta, Hemiptera, Aphididae.
ACAGCGAUUGAGUACAACUCCACAUCAUAUAGGUACCUACACAAUAUUAAGAAAAGCGACAACGCAAACCGAUGUGAACAAAUAUUUUUAAUCAAGUAUCAACGAUUCCGGUUCAUUUAUAUUUUACACCACGAUUUAAAACGAGACAUUCAAACCGAUUUCCAUCACUACAGGACAUAAUUUGUUAGUUGUUUUAUAGAUUCCCGCUAAAAAGCAAUCGUAUUUUUCAUAAUAUGUAAAUGACAGAAUUUUUUUUUUUUGAUAAUGAAUUUGUUGCCCUUUUAUAAUAUUUAUGCAUUACGGUGCAACACAGAUUUUUUUUUGGGGGGGAGGGUGGAGUUAUAACUCUAAAGCUCCCUAUUUUUGUACCAUUUCUUACACAUCUCAACUUUUUACCACCCGAAAAAAUAUAUGAGUUAGUAAUGAAAUAAAUUUGUUUC